GUCCAGGGGCAGGUAGAAGGUCAUACACAGGAGGAGGCAGGUAGCUGGGUCCAGGGGCAGGUAGAAGGUCAUACACAGGAGGAGGCAGGUAGCUGGGUCCAGGGGCAGGUAGAAGGUCAUACACAGGAGGAGACAGGUAGCUGGGUCCAGGGGCAGGCAGAAGGUCAUACACAGGAGGAGAGAGGUAGCUGGGUCCAGGGGCAGGCAGAAGGUCAUACACAGGGGGUCCAAAAAGGCAAUAUAGUACAGGCAGGGAAAAGGCUAGUAAUUUUGUCCGGGAGAUAAGGUAAUAGGUUGAUAACAGGAAAUCCGAUAAGUUAAAGUAUAGGCAGGGAAUAGGCAAAAGGUGUCGUUAGUGAGGUAGGUAAAAACUAU
Oncorhynchus tshawytscha (Chinook salmon) is the source of this 375-nucleotide long non-coding RNA. Lineage: Eukaryota; Metazoa; Chordata; Actinopteri; Salmoniformes; Salmonidae. The record is from Ensembl.